UACGAAGGGGGCAAGCGUUGUUCGGAAUUACUGGGCGUAAAGGGCGCGCAGGCGGCUAACCAAGUCAGAUGUGAAAGCCCCGGGCUCAACCUGGGAAUAGCAUUUGGGACUGGUUGGCUAAAGAUCGGGAGAGGAGAGUGGAAUUCCCAGUGUAGAGGUGAAAUUCGUAGAUAUUGGGAAGAACACCGGUGGCGAAGGCGGCUCUCUGGACCGAUACUGACGCUGAGGCGCGAAAGCGUGGGGAG
Molecule: ribosomal RNA, 245 nt
Filed under: uncultured Azospirillum sp.
Lineage: Bacteria; Pseudomonadati; Pseudomonadota; Alphaproteobacteria; Rhodospirillales; Azospirillaceae
Description: partial 16S ribosomal RNA
Rfam family: Bacterial small subunit ribosomal RNA
Source: RNAcentral